UCGAAAGGGCAAGUGCAUGAUCUACAGCUGU
Molecule: non-coding RNA, 31 nt
Filed under: Homo sapiens (human)
Lineage: Eukaryota; Metazoa; Chordata; Mammalia; Primates; Hominidae
Source: RNAcentral